AGCAGCCGCGGUAAUUCCAGCUCCAAUAGCGUAUAUUAAAGUUGUUGCAGUUAAAAAGCUCGUAGUUGAAUUUCGGGAUCAAUAUGUUGGUCGUGCCUCGGUACGUACUAGCUUAUUGGUUUCUCCUUUCUGGAGAACCAUGAUGUCAUUUAUUUGGUGUCGUGGGGAAUCAGGACUGUUACUUUGAAAAAUUAGAGUGUUUAAAGCAGGCUCACGCUUGAAUACAUUAGCAUGGAAUAAUGAAAUAGGACGUUUGAUUCUAUUUUGUUGGUUUCUAGGAUCGACGUAAUGAUUAAUAGGGAUAGUUGGGGGCAUUAGUAUUCAAUUGUCAGAGGUGAAAAUUCUUGGAUUUAUUGAAGACUAACUACUGCGAAAGCAUUUGCCAAGGAUGUUUUCAUUAAUCAAGAACGAAAGUUAGGGGAUCGAAGACGAUCAGAUACCGUCGUAGUCUUAACCAUAAACUAUGCCGACUAGGGAUCGGAUGAUGUUAAUUUUUAAUGACUCAUUCGGUGUACCG
RNAcentral lists this unclassified non-coding RNA (517 nucleotides) under uncultured Glomus. RNAcentral's name for it is "SSU rRNA". It matches the Rfam family "Eukaryotic small subunit ribosomal RNA", at positions 569 to 1088 of the family's 1831-position model. The record is from RNAcentral. Lineage: Eukaryota; Fungi; Glomeromycota; Glomeromycetes; Glomerales; Glomeraceae.